This 420-nucleotide ribosomal RNA is filed under the name uncultured bacterium. RNAcentral describes it as "bacterial SSU rRNA". It matches the Rfam family "Bacterial small subunit ribosomal RNA", at positions 29 to 431 of the family's 1533-position model. The record is from RNAcentral.
AUGAACGCUGGCGGCGUGCUUAACACAUGCAAGUCGAGCGAAGCACUUACCAUUGACUCUUCGGAAGAUUUGGUAAAUGACUGAGCGGCGGACGGGUGAGUAACGCGUGGGUAACCUGCCUCAUACAGGGGAAUAACAGUUAGAAAUGGCUGCUAAUGCCGCAUAAGCGCACAGUACCGCAUGGUACGGUGUGAAAAACUGAGGUGGUAUGAGAUGGACCCGCGUCUGAUUAGGUAGUUGGUGGGGUAACGGCCUACCAAGCCGACGAUCAGUAGCCGGCCUGAGAGGGUGAACGGCCACAUUGGGACUGAGACACGGCCCAGACUCCUACGGGAGGCAGCAGUGGGGAAUAUUGCACAAUGGGGGAAACCCUGAUGCAGCGACGCCGCGUGAAGGAAGAAGUAUCUCGGUAUGUAAACU